AGCGCGUCGAUCGGCACAGACGGGGCGUGAGUUCUGUACCACCUGGCCCAGGUAACGGCCGUUUUCCACACCCCCACCCACCGGCCGACACAUUUCCAGUAGAUCCGCACCAGGCUUCUUCCUCCACACUACUCCAGAAAUAUCCAAUACUAUUUCGAGCUCCAGAUCCAUCGGUGCCAUGGCUUCUUUGUCAUCUUCCAGCCAGCACCCGGCCUCACAGGAGGUAUUGCCUCUAAUCCCUUGUCCGUACUGCGGCGACAAGAUCCUCAGGUACGUCUGCGGAGCCAGUUCAUUGAAGCCCGGACAUCGAUUCUACAAAUGCAUCCAGAAAGAUGCUGGGAGAUGCAAGUUCUAUUAGUGGCAGGAGGGGUACGCUAGGUUUCUCCCGGCUCAUCUUGGUGCCAACGGGGUCCAGAACCAGAUCUAGGAGGGGGCACCCCAAGUUGCAGCUCCGGUGGUGGACCAGCAUAUUGGAGCAAUUCUAGCCAUGGUCAGAGAUCUGUUGAAGCUCAAUCUUAUAGUCGCGAGAACCAACCUCACUGCCACGGCAUUGCUUCUCGCACUAUUCAUCGCCAUAUGUGCCAUGGUCAUUAUGUCUCGCUCCACCAGCGAUUAAUGUAAUAGGCAGUAGCAACUACCUUUCGCGUGUGUCAUUAGCAUGGGGUCUGUGUUGUGCUAGACCCCGUAGCCGUCUUCGUUUAUCUGUUCUAAGUAACUCUGUUGUACCAAGCCGUAUGUGUCUGUUGUAAUGCAACGAAAUGAUGCUUAAUUAAGUA
Long non-coding RNA from Triticum aestivum (bread wheat), 776 nucleotides. RefSeq lists it as uncharacterized. The transcript is spliced from 2 exons. The record is from RefSeq and is a predicted model, not a curated record. NCBI's taxonomy places the organism in Eukaryota, Viridiplantae, Streptophyta, Magnoliopsida, Poales, Poaceae.